Molecule: ribosomal RNA, 497 nt
Filed under: uncultured bacterium
Lineage: Bacteria
Description: partial 16S ribosomal RNA
Rfam family: Bacterial small subunit ribosomal RNA
Source: RNAcentral
GAUGAACGCUGGCGGCGUGCCUAAUACAUGCAAGUCGAGCGAACAGACGAGGAGCUUGCUCCUCUGACGUUAGCGGCGGACGGGUGAGUAACACGUGGAUAACCUACCUAUAAGACUGGGAUAACUUCGGGAAACCAGAGCUAAUACCGGAUAAUAUAUUGAACCGCAUGGUUCAAUAGUGAAAGACGGUUUUGCUGUCACUUAUAGAUGGAUCCGCGCCGCAUUAGCUAGUUGGUAAGGUAACGGCUUACCAAGGCAACGAUGCGUAGCCGACCUGAGAGGGUGAUCGGCCACACCGGAACUGAGACACGGUCCAGACUCCUACGGGAGGCAGCAGUAGGGAAUCUUCCGCAAUGGGCGAAAGCCUGACGGAGCAACGCCGCGUGAGUGAUGAAGGUCUUCGGAUCGUAAAACUCUGUUAUUAGGGAAGAACAAAUGUGUAAGUAACUAUGCACGUCUUGACGGUACCUAAUCAGAAAGCCACGGCUAACUACGUG